Molecule: ribosomal RNA, 253 nt
Filed under: uncultured bacterium
Lineage: Bacteria
Description: partial 16S ribosomal RNA
Rfam family: Bacterial small subunit ribosomal RNA
Source: RNAcentral
UACGAAAGGAGCGGGUGUUAUUCAGAUUAACUGGGCGUAAAGGGCACGUAGGUGGUUUGUUAUGUGUACUAUGAAAUCAUAAAGCAUAACUUUAUACUUGUAGUAUAUACAACAAAACUUGAGUUAGGUAGAGGGUAGUAGAAUUUCUAAUGUAAAGGUGAAAUUUGAUAAAAUUAGAGAGAAUACCAAUGGCGUAGGCAACUAUCUGGGCCUUAACUGACACUAAGGUGCGAAGGUAUGGGUAGCAAAUAGG